CUUGUACUUGGUGGCGACCGGCGCACGGGUGCGUAACGCGUAUGCAACCUACCUUAUACUGAGGGAUAGCCCAGAGAAAUUUGGAUUAAUACCUCAUAGUAUCAUUUGAAGGCAUCUGAGAAUGAUUAAAGAUUUAUCGGUAUAAGAUGGGCAUGCGUAAGAUUAGUUAGUUGGUGAGGUAACGGCUCACCAAGACUCCGAUGGGUAGGGGUUCUGAGAGGAUGAUCCCCCACACUGGUACUGAGACACGGCCCAGACUCC
RNAcentral lists this ribosomal RNA (261 nucleotides) under uncultured bacterium. RNAcentral describes it as "partial 16S ribosomal RNA". It matches the Rfam family "Bacterial small subunit ribosomal RNA", at positions 78 to 339 of the family's 1533-position model. The record is from RNAcentral.